RNAcentral lists this ribosomal RNA (144 nucleotides) under uncultured bacterium. RNAcentral describes it as "partial 16S ribosomal RNA". It matches the Rfam family "Bacterial small subunit ribosomal RNA", at positions 338 to 480 of the family's 1533-position model. The record is from RNAcentral.
CCUACGGGAGGCAGCAGUGGGGAAUUUUGGACAAUGGGGGAAACCCUGAUCCAGCCAUGCCGCGUGAGUGAAGAAGGCCUUCGGGUUGUAAAGCUCUUUCAGCCGGAACGAAAAGGUUACGGUUAAUACCCGUGACUAAUGACG